RNAcentral lists this ribosomal RNA (167 nucleotides) under uncultured bacterium. RNAcentral describes it as "partial 16S ribosomal RNA". It matches the Rfam family "Bacterial small subunit ribosomal RNA", at positions 335 to 499 of the family's 1533-position model. The record is from RNAcentral.
ACUCCUACGGGAGGCAGCAGUGAGGAAUAUUGGUCAAUGGGCGCAAGCCUGUACCAGCCAUCCCUCGUUAAGGAAGACGGCCCUAUGGGUUGUAAACUUCUUUUAUGUACCAAGAAUAGCUACGACGCGUCGAGGUCUGACGGUAGUACAUGAAUAAGCAUCGGCUA